This 391-nucleotide ribosomal RNA is filed under the name uncultured Alphaproteobacteria bacterium. Its description in RNAcentral is "bacterial SSU rRNA". It matches the Rfam family "Bacterial small subunit ribosomal RNA", at positions 62 to 501 of the family's 1533-position model. The record is from RNAcentral. Lineage: Bacteria; Pseudomonadati; Pseudomonadota; Alphaproteobacteria.
UCGAGCGGUCCUUCGGGACAGCGGCGAACGGGUUAGUAACGCGUGGGAACGUGCCCUUUAGUACGGAAUAGCCAUUGGAAACGAUGAUUAAUACCGUAUACGCCCCAAGGGGGAAAGAUUUAUCGCUAAAGGAUCGGCCCGCGUUAGAUUAGGUAGUUGGUAGGGUAAUGGCCUACCAAGCCGACGAUCUAUAGCUGGUUUGAGAGGAUGAUCAGCAACACUGGGACUGAGACACGGCCCAGACUUCUACGGAAGGCAGCAGUAGGGAAUCUUGGACAAUGGGCGAAAGCCUGAUCCAGCCAUGCCGCGUGAGUGAUGAAGGCCCUAGGGUUGUAAAGCUCUUUCGCCAGGGAAGAUAAUGACGGUACCUGGUAAAGAAACCCCGGCUAAC